AACCAUAGAAACCUGCGGAGUACCUGCGGAAGGAUCAUUACAGAGUUAUCCAACUCCCAAACCCAUGUGAACUUAUCUCUUUGUUGCCUCGGCGCAAGCUACCCGGGACCCCGCGCCCCGGGCGGCCCGCCGGCGGACAAACCAAAACUCUUGUUAUCUUAGUUGAUUCUCUGAGCGUCUUAUUUAAUAAGUCAAAACUUUUAGCAAUGGAUCU
This 214-nucleotide unclassified non-coding RNA is filed under the name soil metagenome. Its description in RNAcentral is "partial contains 5.8S ribosomal RNA, internal transcribed spacer 2, and large subunit ribosomal RNA". The record is from RNAcentral.